This 59-nucleotide ribosomal RNA is filed under the name Proteus mirabilis. RNAcentral describes it as "partial 23S ribosomal RNA". The record is from RNAcentral. Lineage: Bacteria; Pseudomonadati; Pseudomonadota; Gammaproteobacteria; Enterobacterales; Morganellaceae.
UGCGGCAGCGACACAUAGUGUUGUUGGGUAGGGGAGCGUUCUGUAAGCCUGCGAAGGUG